UACAGAGGUCUCGAGCGUUAGGCGGAAUCACUGGGCUUAAAGCGUGUGUAGGCGGAUCGUUAAGUACCUUGUGAAAUCCCGGGGCUCAACCUCGGAACUGCAUUCGAUACUGCUUUGCUUGAGUACUGGAGAGGAGAUUGGAAUUUACGGUGUAGCAGUGAAAUGCGUAGAUAUCGUAAGGAAGACCAGUGGCGAAGGCGGAUCUCUGGACAGUUACUGACACUGAGGCACGAAGGCCAGGGGAGCAAACGGG
Molecule: ribosomal RNA, 253 nt
Filed under: uncultured bacterium
Lineage: Bacteria
Description: partial 16S ribosomal RNA
Rfam family: Bacterial small subunit ribosomal RNA
Source: RNAcentral